Molecule: long non-coding RNA, 1742 nt
Organism: Peromyscus leucopus (white-footed mouse)
Lineage: Eukaryota; Metazoa; Chordata; Mammalia; Rodentia; Cricetidae
Exons: 3
Source: RefSeq, a predicted model, not a curated record
CAGGUGCUCUUGAGGCGGAUGGGGGCAGCUCUUUAGAUGUUGCAAGUCCCCUCCCUUCAGUCGCUCUGACUGGCUUACUGUAGCAUAAUGGCAUUCCACAUCAGACUCCUCGUCUGUCCGCAGCCCCUUCCGUGAGCCGAGGAGCCUAACCGGACACGCUCUUCUGGACACAGCACUGUUGCUUCUAGACUGUUCAUCUGGACUGGGAGGUGAGGGGUGCUGAGUUUAACAGAGAAGGCUCUCUUCCUCCUCUAAGGGCUGACCCUGAGCAGCCGUUCCAGCCUUCUGUGCACCGGGGACUGGCUUGGCUCGCUUACAUCAUGCAGGGUCGGCUGAGUGCAUCUCCCAUCUGGAGAAGCCUUUGAGGCCACGGCGCCUGAGCUGAAGAGCCGCCUCAGCUUAGCUCUUGACGCCUGCUGCUGUUUGGAUACUCCAACCUUUUAGGAAGGUCGUUCGAUUCACUCAGCUUCAGUUACCACCAUCCUUGAGCGAGCGAGUGAAUGGGCCGCUGCAUGCAGUCUCACAACUUGAACUCAGGUAGCAUAAGGAGGGGAUGACCCAGAAGAUAAACACAAGUUUGGUGAGGGCCUGACCUAUAUUGUCCAAGUGGCUUGGUGCAGGCAUGGGGUGGGAUGGACUCCCACACCUCGAAGCCUGUGGGACAGGAGCAUAGCGGAUGUCCUCUGCUGGCUCCUGCUACAUGCUUCAUAAAAUAGACUUAUCUAUACUUUUAGGAAUCCCUUCCCAGUGUGCAAGUCUAGAGAACUCCCCUGGUACACACCUCUCCUUGUCCUCAUGCAUUUGGGAGUGGCUCCUCGCCACCUGGGACCCUUGAAGUUAGCAGCUGGUUCUUCUCCACUUUUUCUGGCACUUCCCCGGCCAUGUGCUCAGCCCACAGGGAGCCCAAGAAAUCCUUGUUCACUGGCUGAGAUGCGGAGAUAUCUGGCUGCCAGGAGAGUCUACGAGAGACAGUAGAGCCGCCAUCUUGCCUUUUCCUGAUGAGGAUGCAGCCGUUCUUUGUCCCUCUGCAAAGGCCAAGACAGGCUUUCAUUACUGUGCUCAUGCUACCCAGAGAGACACCUGAGGAGACCGUCCUCUCCAGGAGACACCUAGAGUGGGUGUUCCAGCCACUUCCUCCAGCCUCUGACCCCCAAGAAGGCCGUGGGUACCUGUCACAGAUGCAGCUGCUCUGGCGGAGGCACUGUCCACUGUGCCUCACCCUUCCUGACUGUGCAGGUGACAGGAGACCGCGUGGACAGUUGGCACACUGGGGCACCCCUUGAAAACAUGCCUUCUCUCACGAACGGCCUAAAACACCCUUUAAAAGCUGCCGUGUGUGAAAAGCCCGUAUCCUGCAUGAAGACCACAGCAAUGUUUGCUGGAGGGAUGCAGUGCAGACAGAGCCACAAAGGAAGCCACAGGGGUCUUCAAAGAGGCCAUGAAACUCAAGCCACUCUGUGUCAGAAAAGCCAUCGCCCUUAAUUCUUCUUGCCUUUGACAUGGAAUAGCGGGAACAGCAGGAGGGUAUGUAUGUUGAUGAUGCCUGCAUGGAAGACCUGAAGUGGCAUGGUGGGCUUGGGGAGGUCCAGGCCAGUGUGUAUGAGAGACCAACAACCAGAAAGAGACUUGAGUUUUACCUCAUCGUGCCUUCUGGCAAUGUCUGGCAUCAAGCUGACUGUAGUGGGUAGCCAUUCCAGCUUGGAUCUGGAAGUUCCAACCCCCAUUGAGACUCCGGCAACUGU